Long non-coding RNA from Schistocerca gregaria, 1856 nucleotides. RefSeq lists it as uncharacterized. Lineage: Eukaryota; Metazoa; Arthropoda; Insecta; Orthoptera; Acrididae. The transcript is spliced from 5 exons. The record is from RefSeq and is a predicted model, not a curated record.
AACGUGGACUCCUGCAAAAAGAUACCGGUAUUAUUUUUCAUCAAAAUGCCAGAUUGCUGGUAGACACAUCUCUGAUCAAUCCAAACAAGAUUAAAUGUGAUGUGAUGUUUCAGUGGGUUGGAUGGAUCGAAUGGUCGGAUUUCAAGAACGAGUAUAAGCUGAAGGCAAUACAAUGCAGAGACUAUCAGGACGUUGACGUGAAUCUGUUAGAGAUGGCCGAGAAGAAAAAACGGAAUUUUUUGUCAAGGUGGAUGACGACUAUAGAACGAAAAAAAUGAAUAUGCGAUACAUCGCUGUUUGAUGUAGUCUUCCAACAACAGGUACAACGUGAUCAUCCUGAUACAGAGAGGCUGAUUUCACAUGUCUAUUCUUGCUACGAAGAAGGAAUAGCAGCCGUAUAGACGUUAUAUUUCUUUUGUGUAUGAUAGUCUUUUUUUGUUAGGGAAGGUGUUUUCCCAUGAGUUGACUUCUAGCAGGAAAAAAACCUUAUAUUAGCUGUGCAGAGCACCGUUGAAAGAGAGUCUAGAAUGAAGGGACGAGACACCAAAAUUUGUAUAGACAACAAAUGCACAAAUAUGAUUUGUAUAUUAUUCUUAUAUCAUAUGCUUUUUGACGAGUGUUUUUGGUAGAAGAUGCACGGAGCUUGUCAGACGAAAGUAGUAGCGACUAUAUGUAUCAUCCUCUUGAUGUGCAUAAUGCCGAGGAAUGCGGAUACAUUUUCCUGUAAUACUGUAAACUAUUACUACGAUAAGGAGAGUGUAUAUAGCUAUGAUUCAGAUGAAAUAACAGUCGCUUGUAUAAGUAUUACCCCCAAAAUUUCCUAUAUGAAAGAACCUUCAGCCAUCCACGUAACUAUUACAGAUUACACAAUUCCAGAUGAAAGUCAACUCAUUGUCUACGGCUCGAUAUUUCCAACAGAAAAAAGAGAAGAAUUCCGCAUCACAAAAGAAGAAGCUACAAAAAAUGCAGGUAAUUCAAUUGAGCGCAUCGUGAAAAGACCAUAUUUGUUUUUGACCUUGAUAAGCAAUGGAAAUCAACAAACAAAAUUUGUGUUCGGCUACAGCGUUGAGGACGGUGAGACCCAACACGUCGUCGGAUACCUCAUCUUCGUCUGUGUUAAUAUAAUCCUCGCUGUUCCACUUUUCUUCAACUUGAUUCUUUUAAUAAUCACAUCUACCACCUCAAAGAAGAUAUUAUCGAGGCAAAGAAUGCUAUUGAUUAUAUCCUUUCUCGUCAUGGGUUUCAUCUGUCUCCUUUCUGUGCUCAUUGACUCCGUUGUCCGAUACUCAUAAGAACUGCAACUCUUCGUUUUAAUACAGUUUUUACUCCUAGCUAGCAAGUAGCAAGUUGGUUGCCGCUCCUGAUUUACUAAUAUUUUGUAGAUUCUUCUAUAUUUGCAUAUAUACUUCUCUCUAUAUGUAUAUUCGCGAACAUUUUUCUUUUUGCUAGAUUCAUUCAUAUCCCAGCGGGUCCGCAUGUCCUUGUCUGAGGAAUUCUAAUGCACUGUUCCGCAAUGCAAGUAAAAAAGUCCUCAUUUCUUUCUGACUGAAGUAGCUGAACAGCUUUUUUCUAUCAUCUGCAACAAGACCUGAGAGACGGAUACAACCCGCAUAAUUUUGCAUAUGAUAUAACAUGUGGUGCAGUAAAAAAAUCGUCUCCGGUAGACAUUGACGUUUCAGUUCCUUCAACUGCACUGCGCGACAAGAAUUUUUCGGAUAAUCCCCUUGUUGUUGUAACAAAUGGGAUGGCAGUUCUUCAUAAUGAAGCGUGCUUUUUCCUUCAUAUUCCAUAUCCUCCAACCAUCCGCCCGGAAAAUAAAUUACCUCAUUCAACGCCUUCAGCGCGUCAUCUGCCAA